UAUUGCUCUUCAACGAGGAAUCCCUAGUAGUCGCAUGUCAUCAGCAUGCGACGAUUACGUCCCUGCCCUUUGUACACACCGCCCGUCGCUACUACCGAUUGGAUGGCUCAGUGAGGCUUCUGGAUUGGCGCUGUGGGCAACUGCAGCUGCCGAGAAACUAUUCAAACUCGGUCAUUCAGAGGAAGUAAAAGU
RNAcentral lists this ribosomal RNA (192 nucleotides) under Sphaeronaemella fimicola. RNAcentral describes it as "partial small subunit ribosomal RNA". It matches the Rfam family "Eukaryotic small subunit ribosomal RNA", at positions 1591 to 1789 of the family's 1831-position model. Lineage: Eukaryota; Fungi; Ascomycota; Sordariomycetes; Microascales. The record is from RNAcentral.